RNAcentral lists this ribosomal RNA (805 nucleotides) under uncultured Bacteroidota bacterium. RNAcentral's name for it is "bacterial SSU rRNA". It matches the Rfam family "Bacterial small subunit ribosomal RNA", at positions 1 to 799 of the family's 1533-position model. Lineage: Bacteria; Pseudomonadati; Bacteroidota. The record is from RNAcentral.
AGGAGAGUUUGAUCCUGGCUCAGGAUGAACGCUAGCUACAGGCUUAACACAUGCAAGUCGAGGGGCAGCAUGGGAUUAGCUUGCUAAUCCUGAUGGCGACCGGCGCACGGGUGAGUAACGCGUAUCCAACCUUCCCUAUAGUAGAGGAUAGCCCGGCGAAAGUCGGAUUAAUACUCUAUGUUUUCCGUUGCAGACAUCUAAGAUGGAACAAAGGCUUGCCGCUAUAGGAUGGGGAUGCGUCUGAUUAGGUAGUCGGCGGGGUAACGGCCCACCGAGCCAUCGAUCAGUAGGGGUUCUGAGAGGAAGGUCCCCCACAUUGGAACUGAGACACGGUCCAAACUCCUACGGGAGGCAGCAGUGAGGAAUAUUGGUCAAUGGGCGAGAGCCUGAACCAGCCAAGUAGCGUGCAGGAUGACGGCCCUAUGGGUUGUAAACUGCUUUUAUGCGGGGAUAAAGUUCACUACGUGUAGUGUUUUGUAGGUACCGCAUGAAUAAGGACCGGCUAAUUCCGUGCCAGCAGCCGCGGUAAUACGGAAGGUCCGGGCGUUAUCCGGAUUUAUUGGGUUUAAAGGGAGCGCAGGCCGGAGGUCAAGCGUGACGUGAAAUGUAGCCGCUCAACGGCUGAACUGCGUCGCGAACUGGCUUUCUUGAGUGAGUUCGAUGUGGGCGGAAUUCGUGGUGUAGCGGUGAAAUGCUUAGAUAUCACGAAGAACUCCGAUUGCGAAGGCAGCCCACAAGGCCUUUACUGACGCUAAAGCUCGAAGGUGCGGGUAUCGAACAGGAUUAGAUACCCUGGUAGUCCCCU